GUGGGGAAUCUUGCGCAAUGGGCGAAAGCCUGACGCAGCAACGCCGCGUGCGGGAUGACGGCCUUCGGGUUGUAAACCGCUUUCAGUGGGGACGAAACAAGACGGUACCCACAGAAGAAGCCCCGGCCAACUACGUGCCAGCAGCCGCGGUAACACGUAGGGGGCGAGCGUUGUCCGGAAUCAUUGGGCGUAAAGAGCUCGUAGGCGGCUCGGUAAGUCGGGUGUGAAACCCCCAGGCUCAACCUGGGGACGCCACCCGAUACUGCUGUGGCUAGAGUCCAGUAGGGGAGUGUGGAAUUCCCGGUGUAGCGGUGAAAUGCGCAGAUAUCGGGAGGAACACCAUCGGCGAAGGCGGCACUCUGGGCUGGAACUGACGCUGAGGAGCGAAAGCGUGGGUAGCAAACAGGAUUAGAAACCCUAGUAGUCC
Molecule: ribosomal RNA, 427 nt
Filed under: uncultured bacterium
Lineage: Bacteria
Description: bacterial SSU rRNA
Rfam family: Bacterial small subunit ribosomal RNA
Source: RNAcentral